GACAAACGCUGGCGGCGUGCUUAAUACAUGCAAGUCGAACGGUACCCCUUCGGGGGUAUAGUGGCGGACGGGUGAGUAACACGUAGAUAACCUGCCCUGCUGAGGGGAAUAACAUCUCGAAAGAGAUGCUAAUACCGCAUAAGCUCUAGGUUGCGAGACUUAGAGGAAACCUGCUUCGCAAGAGGUGGGGCUGCAGGAGGGGUCUGCGGCGGAUUAGCUAGUGGUGAGGUAACGGCUCACCAAGGCGACGAUCCGUAGCUGGUCUGAGAGGACGGCCAGCCACACUGGGACUGAGACACGGCCCAGACUCCUACGGGAGGCAGCAGUAAGGAAUAUUCCACAAUGGCGAAAGCCUGAUGGAGCGACGCCGCGUGAGGGAAGAAGG
This 385-nucleotide ribosomal RNA is filed under the name uncultured bacterium. RNAcentral describes it as "bacterial SSU rRNA". It matches the Rfam family "Bacterial small subunit ribosomal RNA", at positions 28 to 414 of the family's 1533-position model. The record is from RNAcentral.